UAUUGUAUAAAACCAAAUCAAACCAACAAACCUUGGCGUGGUGGUGUGCGUUUCUAGUGCCAUCCUGAGUUUGGUUACAUCUACACCUGAGGAACCGGAGACAGGUGGCUCCCUCUCUACACUACCUGCCAGCCAGUCAGCCUCAUCUACUUAGCAAGCUCCAAGUUAACGAGAGAACCCAUUUCAGUAAACAAGGUGGAGGCUCCUGAGUAACCAGUGACACCCCCCAGGUUGUCCCCUGCUUUCCGCCUGCAUUAUCACACAUGUGUGUGCACACAUGAGAACAUAUUCACACAUGUACACACAUACAUGAGUAUGCUCAUACAUGUGUGUGCACACAUGAACAUAUUCACACAUGUACACACACAAACGUGUGCACACACACACACACACACACACACACACGAACAUCCUCACACACAAAAUGAAUGGGUAUUAGUUUAAGCCAAUCAUUAACACUGAGUUGGUGUUUUCUUUUUGUCGAUGUUGUUUUUUGUUGUUGUUACAAAGUAAUAAAAGAUGAAUCCAAACCACAAGUUUAAAUAUUCUGAAGUCCUAUGUCAAGCUUCAUCACUGUUAAAGUAUGUGCUAUCCAUCUGUUGUGACAUACGUCUUCACAAUAACCACGAAGGCUCGGGUCAUGGUCAUAGUCCUCUGAGGAUUUGGAGUUCUGUGCCAGGAGGCAGCUGCCUGGGGGAGGGUUGGCCCCUUGGAUCCUAGGCCUUGCCUGUGGUCUCAUUUUUCUGAUCAUCUCAUUCCUGUUUCCAUCUUGGAGCAGAAGGUGCAGAGAGCCCAUCCCAGAGAAGCCAAAUUCACUCACUCUUCUGCAGACAGCUGGCCCUUGGGAGCAGGAUGUGGUUUGUCUUUGGUUUCCUGCCUGAUUGGGGAGGAACGCUGCCCAGAUCUGUGUGCAAGAUGCCUCAACUGAGGAAACCGCUGGAAUCUUAUUUGAAGGAGAACUUGGCCCCAGAGCCCCUUCCCCACUCACUAGUGAGACAGUGCCAAGACUUCAGUCACUGCCACCAAACUCCAGCAAACCCCAAACCACAGGAAUGCAACCGGGUCGGUCACCUGGGGACAACGGAAUGAGGUGACUCUGCUCCACGGCUCCUCCCUCUGCUUCUUCCCCUCCAUGUCUCUGGCACGAGGGAGAGCUGACUGGUUGGACUGAGCCCUCUCCAAAUCCAAGCCUCCUGGGGUGCAAGGACUUUCUGGGUCAGGCUCUAAGGCUGGAGGAGAGCAGAGGGCAGGACUGGGGUUGGGUAUUGGUUCACAUCCGGCUGGUGCUUAUUAGGACAGAAGAGGGAGGGAUGGAAGCUUGACUAACUGUGCUGGAAUAACCAUGAACAUGCAUAAUCAUAGACCAAGAAGAUGCUCGGAAGAAAAGGUUACAUUUUGAACACAAGGGGCCUGACUUUGGAGUAUCCCCCAAUUAACAAGAACCAACCAACCAACCAACCAACCAAAACCUUGAAGAUAGUAAGUGUUAGCUAAGCAAAGAGGUAUACAUGGAGGAGCUCGCUAGUGGCGACAGG
Non-coding RNA from Peromyscus maniculatus bairdii (prairie deer mouse), 1535 nucleotides. The record is from RefSeq and is a predicted model, not a curated record. Lineage: Eukaryota; Metazoa; Chordata; Mammalia; Rodentia; Cricetidae.